RNAcentral lists this long non-coding RNA (877 nucleotides) under Sus scrofa (pig). RNAcentral's name for it is "lncRNA (ENSSSCG00045026649.1, ENSSSCG00065012434.1)". The record is from RNAcentral. Lineage: Eukaryota; Metazoa; Chordata; Mammalia; Artiodactyla; Suidae.
GGGGAGGGAAUGGAGUGAAAAGAAAGAAGAGUAGGUUAAAUAGAUCCAGUGCAGCGCCUGCAGAUCAAAGACCCCGUGCAGCAGGACGUGAGGAUGCAGUCCAUUGUCUGAGCUUGGGCUGCGGACGCAGACUCCCCCAGACUUGAGGCUCACCCCGCAGGCGUGUAUGUCUCACCCUGCUGCAGACCGGAAGUCUGAGACUGAGAUGUAGCUUCUGGUGAGACCUCUCUGCCUGAUGUGCAGGCGGCCCCCUUCUUGGGGUGUCCCCGCUUGGUGGAGAGGAGAGGGGGAGCCUGGGUCUCUCCUCCUGGUUUCACAAGGACCUUCAGCCCAUCAGGGGGGCCCCACACUCUUGACCUCAUCUCAGCCUCAUCCCGUCCCCAAGGCAUCACUUCCUAAUACCAUCACCCUGGGGACAACUGCUCUCCCACUUGUGAAUAAUAGAGGGGUACCCGCCAGUCCCUGGCACACAUAUUGUCAACACGCUGGCUCUCGAGGAGAGAUGCUGGGGGUCCUGUUGUGACACUAUAACUUAGGAAGCAGCUUCAAUCUGCCAUCUGGACACGGAGCCUCCCCCUUGGAUGAAAGCCCUGAGGGUUUCCUGGACACUUCUUAGGAGAAACGGAGCCAGUCCAUACUCGGGGCAUCAGACACGACGUAUGGUCAGAUUCCUCCUGGAAGCCGGAAUACCUCCUCUGCUUCUGCGCGAGGUCACGCCGUCUUCUCCGGCCUGUUUGUCGCCCUCUCCGUUGGCCGCUUCUCACUUGCCCCAGCCGGGCACCACGGGGCUCCCCAAAGUGCUGGUCCCGGCCCAGCCCCCUCAGGCUCUCCAAAUGGGAGGGGAGCCUUCCACCUUUUUUUGGCAGGAGGCUUCUGG